Molecule: long non-coding RNA, 285 nt
Filed under: Ananas comosus (pineapple)
Lineage: Eukaryota; Viridiplantae; Streptophyta; Magnoliopsida; Poales; Bromeliaceae
Description: long non-coding RNA (ACOM_LNC003488)
Source: RNAcentral
AGUAACCCUAGAGGAUAGGGUACCCUAGAGUGAAGAGAAUUGGAUCAUGCUCACGGUCUAUUUUUAACUUGUGAUGGAAGCCCCACACAAGAAGUGCGCUCCGGAGUUGGUCACGUGGGAUUGCCUAUUUUGGGUCCCAAGGGAUUGCCUAUUUUGGGUCCCGGCAGACGGUCUCGGUUCGUAGUGCGAGUUGACCCUCCCUACCUUCGAGAUGGCUAGUGAGCAGUAGGCGAGCUUUUAGAGAAGCCACGAGAUUAAGAAACAAGUAAAUGAGAUUGAUGAAUA